Molecule: long non-coding RNA, 1072 nt
Organism: Lycium barbarum (goji berry)
Lineage: Eukaryota; Viridiplantae; Streptophyta; Magnoliopsida; Solanales; Solanaceae
Exons: 3
Source: RefSeq, a predicted model, not a curated record
AUCAUUUCAUUGAAAGAAAAACUCAUAGCACCAGCCAUGGCAGCUCACGGCCAGCUGGGCUUUGAAGGAAAAAAAUUAAAUUAAAUUCCCAAAGGUGUUCUAAACAUUCAAGGGAGGCAGAAACAUUAGGAUUUAAAUUGAGGAAGAAGAAGUGGUGCAAUUGGUGCAAGUGAUUGUAGGAUCUGUCCUAAUUAAAUUAAGGUUGAGGUGCUUUGGGUAGCGUAUACAUAUCGAAUCACGGAUUAAGCAUCAAAGGUACAGACACUCGGUUUGGUGAUCCUCCAGCUUAGGAAUUCUGCUCAGCUGUUUUGGAGAGCUCCAUUGUUCCGGAGCCUAGAUUAUUUUGGUACAGAUCUUUUGAUGUCGACUUAUGCAUAUCCAGGGGUACGGCGGGGCCCUGUCCCGUCAUAUUUCACUUGUACACUCUUAGAGGUCUGUAGACAUAUGUGGGUUGUAUCUGACUGUGUCGAUAUGGUUUGUUUUGGAUAUUCCAGUAUAUAGUGGCAGCUUUGUCGGCUUGCGUAUUGUGUUAUGCUGUGGUUAGCCGUGCCUCCUCAGGAGACAGGUUUAUGAUAUGUGGCGUUAUGAAUCUUUCGUUUGUUUUUACAAGUUUCCAUAUUGUCCUUAGUUUCAGUCUGACUAUAUCUAGCAGGUUCGUAUAUGAGUGUCCAGUUCGGGCACUAGUCAUGGCCCAUGGGGUUGGGUCGUGACAUUGGUACUCUUUAGGAUCCACUCCCUCUCAAAAGUAGCACCUUCGCCUUGAAGGAACGACGGGAAUUGACGACAGGCUCGAUUAGGCAUCCCAUAAAAUGUCCCAUACCUUGUCGGGGAGCAACCUUCUCCAUCCACUGCUGAUCAAUUAUCUCUUUGGUCAUCGACGUCCCGGCUGGCUGACUGACACAAUAUUCACCAAAGUGUUGUUGAAACUCGGUUUGAAGUUGAAGGAUACAAUGUUAGUAGCUAAAUUUAGUAAAAAAAAAAAAGUAGUUAUUAUUGUUAGUUAGUGACUUACAUUGGUUUGCUGAACCCUUGGCUCAAUCCAUUACUCUGUACCAUCAACGUUCUUCGUCUU